Long non-coding RNA from Lonchura striata (white-rumped munia), 1598 nucleotides. Lineage: Eukaryota; Metazoa; Chordata; Aves; Passeriformes; Estrildidae. The record is from Ensembl.
UUUCACCCCAUCUUUUCCCCAAUUUUUCCCAUUUUUUUUCACCACUUUAUCCCCAUUUAUUCCCCAUUUUUUCCCCGUUUUUCCCCAUUUAUUCCCCAUUUUUUCACCGUUUUUCGCCGUUUUUUCACCGUUUUUUCCCAUUUUUCUUAUUUUCUCCCAUUUUUAACCAAUUUUACCCCAAUUUCUUCACCAUUUUUAACCCAUUUUCCCCCCAUUUCAUGACCAUUUUUCCCCCAUUUUUUCCCCCUUUUUCGUCGUUUUUUCACCGUUUUUUGUCAUUUUUUCACCGUUUUUUCCCAUUUUUCUUAUUUUCCCCCAUUUUUAACCAAUUUCACCCCAUCUUUACCCCAAUUUUUCCCAUUUUUUUCCCCAUUUUAUCCCCAUUUUCCCCCCCGUUUCAUCCCCAUUUUUUCCCCGUUUUUCGUCAUUUUUUCCCCGUUUUUCGCCGUUUUUUCACCGUUUUUCGCCGUUUUUUCGCCGUUUUUCCCCUUUUAACCGAUUUCUGUGUUUUUCCCCCCAUUCCAGAGCCCCCCAAGGACGCCGUUUCCCGAUCCCGAUCCCGGCUCCUUCUCCGGGCCCUGACCCCAUUUUUUCCCCAUUUUUCCCCAUUUUUUCCCAUUUUCACCAUUUUCCUUAUUUUCCCCCAUUUUUAACCAAUUUCACCCCAUCUUUACCCCAAUUUUUUCCCGUAUUUUUUUCACCAUUUUAUCCACAUUUCCCCCCCAUUUUUUCCCCGUUUUUCGCCGUUUUUUCGUCAUUUUUUCACCGUUUUUUGUCAUUUUUUCACCGUUUUUCACCAUUUUUCUUAUUUUCCCCCAUUUUUAACCAAUUUCACCCCAUCUUUACCCCAAUUUUUUCCGGUUUUUUUUCACCACUUUAUCCCCAUUUAUUCCCCAUUUUUUCCCCGUUUUUCGUCGUUUUUUCGUCAUUUUUUCGCCGUUUUUUGUCGUUUUUUCGCCGUUUUUUCACCGUUUUUCGCCGUUUUUUCGCCGUUUCUCCCCUUUUAACCAAUAUUUCCCUUUUUCCCCCCAUUCCAGAGCCCCCUGAGGACGCCGUUUCCCGCUCCCAAUCCCGGCUCCGGCGCCGGGCCCUCUCCUCGCUGGCGCUGCGGGAGCUGCGGGACGAGUUGGGGGAGGGGCCCCGGCAGGAGGGGGAGGGGCCGGGCCACGCCCCCCCCGCCCAGAUCCACAGGUGGGAAAUCCGGGAAUUCCGGCGGAACGUUCCGGAAUCCGCCCGGAACUCCUUUGGGAAUUUUUUGGGAUUUUUUGGGGAUUUUUUUUUUUUUUUUUGGGGCGAUUUUAACGAUUUUUAUUUUUUUUUUUUUGAAUUUUUUUUUUUUUUUUUUUGAGCAAUUUUAAGGGAUUUUUAUGGGAUUUUUUUGGGAUUUUUAUGGGAUUUUUNGAUUUUUAUGGGAUUUUUUUGGGAUUUUUAUGGGAUUUUUAUGGGAUUUUUUUGGGAUUUUUAUGGGAUUUUUUUGGGAUUUUUAUGGGAUUUUUUGGAAUUUUUUUCGGGAUUUUUUUGGCACUUUUUGGACAAUUUUAGGGGAUUUUUUGGGGAUUUUUUUGGAUUUUUAUGGGAUUUUUUUUGAAUUUUUUUCG